CAGUAGCCACGGGAAUACGUAGGUGGCAAGCGUUGUCCGGAAUUAUUGGGCGUAAAGGGCUCGCAGGCGGUUUCUUAAGUCUGAUGUGAAAGCCCCCGGCUCAACCGGGGAGGGUCAUUGGAAACUGGGAAACUUGAGUGCAGAAGAGGAGAGUGGAAUUCCACGUGUAGCGGUGAAAUGCGUAGAGAUGUGGAGGAACACCAGUGGCGAAGGCGACUCUCUGGUCUGUAACUGACGCUGAGGAGCGAAAGCGUGGGAAGCGAACAGGAUUAGAUACCCCCGUAGUCCCUGUCUCUUAUAC
This 301-nucleotide ribosomal RNA is filed under the name uncultured bacterium. Its description in RNAcentral is "partial 16S ribosomal RNA". It matches the Rfam family "Bacterial small subunit ribosomal RNA", at positions 509 to 807 of the family's 1533-position model. The record is from RNAcentral.